AAAGCCAUCGCUCCUUCUUUCUGGCCGGAUGUGUGCUGAGACCCAGAGUCACCCAGGGGUCUCCGUCACGUGCCAGGAGUAGGCAGAAGUGGGCUGUGACAGAUCAGGAAACAGAGCUCAGUGCAGCCCACUAAAUUGCUCAGGGCCCUACAGCUAACAAGCGGCAGAGGCAGGAUCUGCACUCAGGAGCUGCUUGGAGAUGCUGCUGUGGCCACUGCUGCUGCUGCUGCUGCUGCUGCCAACAUUGGCCCUGCUCAGGCAGCAGCGGUCCCAGGAUGCCAGGCUGUCCUGGCUUGCUGGCCUCCAGCACCGAGUGGCAUGGGGGGCCCUGGUCUGGGCAGCCACCUGGCAGCGGCGGAGGCUGGAGCAGAGCACGCUCCAUGUGCACCAGAGCCAGCAGCAGGCCCUGAGGUGGUGUCUACAGGGAGCCCAGCGCCCCCACUGUUCCCUCAGAAGGAGCACAGGUGUGUUUCCCAGGGUCUGGGGAGGUGACCCAAAGAGAAAGAAACCCCACAGGACCGUCAGAUUCCAGAGCCUGAUGGCCCCCUUACCUCCUCCACUGCCAACGGAGUGGCCUGACCCAGAGACCCAG
RNAcentral lists this long non-coding RNA (592 nucleotides) under Homo sapiens (human). RNAcentral describes it as "non-protein coding lnc-STAT5B-1:2". Lineage: Eukaryota; Metazoa; Chordata; Mammalia; Primates; Hominidae. The record is from RNAcentral.